This 289-nucleotide ribosomal RNA is filed under the name uncultured bacterium. RNAcentral describes it as "partial 16S ribosomal RNA". It matches the Rfam family "Bacterial small subunit ribosomal RNA", at positions 775 to 1067 of the family's 1533-position model. The record is from RNAcentral.
GGAUUAGAUACCCUGGUAGUCCACGCAGUAAACGAUGAAUACUAGCUGUAUGCGAUAUACUGUAUGUGGCAAAGCGAAAGCGUUAAGUAUUCCACCUGGGGAGUACGUUCGCAAGAAUGAAACUCAAAGGAAUUGACGGGGGCCCGCACAAGCGGAGGAACAUGUGGUUUAAUUCGAUGAUACGCGAGGAACCUUACCCGGGCUUGAAAUGCAGAGGAAUGACUUGGAAACAGGUCCGCCAGCAAUGGUCUCUGUGUAGGUGCUGCAUGGUUGUCGUCAGCUCGUGCCG